Gymnogyps californianus (California condor) is the source of this 1273-nucleotide long non-coding RNA. RefSeq lists it as uncharacterized. The record is from RefSeq and is a predicted model, not a curated record. The transcript has 2 exons. NCBI's taxonomy places the organism in Eukaryota, Metazoa, Chordata, Aves, Accipitriformes, Cathartidae.
AUUCAACAAGCUGUUUCUGCACUGAGAGAGUUGGGAAGGAGCAGCUGUAUCUGCCUGUGGAGCUGCAGUCGUCGGAGCGUCAGCUGCCAACUGGAUUUGCUGGAGGCAGGGAAGUACCUUCUCUGGCAGAGGAUUUCUGCGUGAGGGCAGAGAGAGGGCUUUGCCUUGCAAAUGUCAUCCAGAAGUCCAGAAAAGAUAUCGGGAGACGCCCCUGGACUCGGUGAUCCAUAAAACCUUCAUGAAAGUCAAUGACUGUUCCGGCAGGGAUUGAAGCCAUCGUUUACAUGGCAUGCCAACGGUGAUAAAUCUGUCCUGCAGAUGCGCGCAGGACUGGUGGGUGUCACGCUGCAUGCCUGCUGAAGUCUCUGUUAAGCUCAGAAAAACUUAUACUAACCUCAACCUAAAAAAAACCACAACCCAAAAUAGAAAUCAAAAAGCCACUGCUAGCUAUAAGGGAAGAAAAUCUCCUAGCUUGCAGUUUUGGAGAGGGGAGAGAGGAAGGACUCUUUCAUUUCCUAUUCCUUCUAAAUGUAUGUGUCACAUAUUUAUAGGUUAAUGGUACCUUUGAGGAAAUGCAACUCUUGCAGUGAUUAACAGAAUAUUUAUUUUCUACAAGCAGUGUUAUAAAAUCCACAUAGUUCCUGCCUCCUAAAUGAUAAUUAAUCUGCUGGUGUGCGUUGCCCAUCUCAAGACUUCCGCAGUGCAACACUGGCGUUUCUCAUUAAAAUGAAUCCUGGAGGCACUUUGUUAUUGUUUAGACUGUGAAAACCACUGGUGUUUUGGGGUUUUUUGUUUUUUGUUUUUUUUUCCCCCUCUGUAUGUUUUGUAAGUGCUAAACGCAGGAGGAAUUUUGCACGUUCUUUAAAGGACUGCACAUUAAUAAUACAUUCUCAACCACAAAAAGAAAGUCAAAUUGCUGAAUGGUAGUUGUAUAAGUUAACAGCAUUCAGGAAAAGGCACUCUCCCUUUAAUCUUUUCCUACAAAGAGAUGCCCUCAUAGUUGAGACAGUAUCAUCUAGAAGUCAACCGAUUCUUGCUUGAUGCACUGCUCUUGUGCCUUUCAACAGUGCUUCAGGGGGUUAUUUCAACAGCAUUGUAGAUGACAAGGCUUGGAUUAGUGAAACUUCAGUUCCACCUUUGUUUUUUAAACGGCUGCCUGCUGUAUGAGAGCACUUGUAUGGCUUUUUUAUGCAUCUCUGUCUCUUGCCAUAGGUAAUUAUUUAUUAAUGUAAAUGCUGCAAGGAAAUAAUAAUCUAAUAAAAUUCUAUCCUGA